CUUAUGAAAGCAUGUUUAGCGUUAUCUAAUCUGGUGCCUGUUUCAUCACAGGGGUAGCCAAUAAUGUAAACCUUUGUGUGGAAGGAAGGAGGGAGAGAGCGCCUAGCCGGCCUGGCCGCUCCCUGGUGACCCAGCCCCCACUCUGCCCAAUAGUCAGCCAGGAGUUUUGCCAUCCCGUGACGGUGGCAUUCCAAAGGCCCAACGAGACACACUUUACUUCCAAACUAAACAGCACUGGCUAAUCCGAAUGCAUACCUCCUCAGGUGCCAGCGCGGAGCCUGUGUCUGUGUCUGCUCUGUAUGUAAAUACUGGCGCGCCUCUGCAUUGCCGCAAGGUCCUCAGUCAACCCGCUUCCCCCGAGAGGCUCCGGAAAGGAAGGGACCGUCUUCGACCGGCCUCUGGAGCCCGGACGACCACAGAGGAGACGCGGAGCCGCCCGGGCAGUGGAAAGCAUACAGAGGCUGGAAGAAGCUGCGGUCCCCCGUGCCAACCAAUUCCAUCUCAGAUCGCCUGGGAGCGUCCGACCUCGAGCGAAACUCGCCGCGCUGAGUCAAAUGCUAACUUUUUUUUUUGUGUGUGUGUUGUUCCUUAAGAGGUGCAAACACCCAGCUUUAGCCCAGGGCCCCCGCGGCUGCCUCCCAGAAAAUGAGGGUUGUGAGGCAGACCUCCUUGAGUGCUCGAGGUCCCCAAGGCGCCUGGCUCCAGGGUACAGCGAAGUAUACACUAUGGGGGGCGUCCCAGAACCCGGGCCAGUGGAGACUGCAAGCGGGUUGGGAGAGUCUGAGAAGGGCACCCAGGGAGGCAGAAAGAAAGACUCGCUGUGGCACUGGUGCUUGGGUGUUGGGCAGGUGACCUGGGACCAGCCCUAGGUCUGCAAGGUGCAGUCAUUUUCACUGGCCUGGGCAUCCUGGAUCGUUUGCGGGUCAGUAUCUCUGAACACAGCAUUUCACCGCAAGACUUAUGGUCCAGGUCUUGGAGCGCAAACUUUCCUCUGCGGCCCAGGGAAGGCGCUGGACUUCGCCCCACUGCCGAAGCCAGCUCGCACCCGGCAGUCUCUGAAAAUGCGAAUCUCCCGGGGCUGAGGACCUGCUGGCAUUUUACUGAUGACCAGCGAUACGCCCAGGAAUUAUUCAAAGAAAGGGUUGAAUUAGAGAGACCUCGUUAAGAACGGACGUUCUGCUGUCAAGCCUCCUAGGGAGGAAGUCCAUCGGCAAGUCGCAGCCACCCAGGUGUUGCCCCCACCCCCUGCCUCCUCCCUCUGGUGAAAAGUCACAUUAAUGACAAACUCUACGUGCCGCCUGACAGUUUGAUAACGAAUAACGGGCUUUGACCCCAGGACAUCCUCCCCUCCCGCGGGCUCCGGGUAAGGAAAAAGGCCAAAUGGAGAACUAAGGAAAUUCUCUAAAUAGUUGAAAGACACCUCCAAACGUACUUUGCCCUACUUGUCUGUCGUGGUAGCUUCGUGGGAAGUUUUCCAUACGCACUCCUGGGACAAUUGUCCAUGUCCCAUUUCAUCUUCCAGCGGGGCUGGGGAUGCAGUCUCUACUGACCCCAGCCCCCUAGGAAGCUCUGCAGAAUUGCCCCCUCUCUCAACUCCGGACUGGGCAGGGCCGCUGGGACCAGCACACAGGCGUCCUGACCCUCAGUACCCACUCCUGGGUUUCCAGGGUUAAACUCCGAAGCCAAGAGAAGGAAACUCCCAAAAAACGGGCAAAGGAAUCAUAUAGGUCGGCCUGGACUGAGUGGGGCCUGCCGAGUACCUCCCAGGGAACCCAAGCGGGACAGCUUCACACCCUGCAGGAGUGAGUUUCUGCACUCGGCCCCCAGUCCAAUCCCCAAUCCUUAACUAGAAGACGGAAAAUAGCUUUUCCAGGUUCUGGUGACCCGCCUUGGUGCUGCUGGCCCUUGGCCCCACUCCCCAUUCCUGUGGUGUCACCACGUCCCCAAUCCGGGCAUUCCAGGAGCUCUCGCCACAUCCCGCUGCUUCCCGGUGUUUUUGUGCAGGAGGGGCCCACAGAGGCCUUGUUUUUUAACCAUUACCGUGACGUCAUGCCUCCUUCCCAAAGCUAAGAUCCCUUCGGUGGGCCCAGGGAAUUGUAACCUCUCCUGGCGGGUCAGAGAGGGGAAUGAGGGUCGGCUGCCCCCAGCCACCAUCCCGCCAAACACUCAUUACUGCUGUCGCCUGCGGGGGCUUUCAAGCUGCCAGUACCCAAGGUGUCAAAAAAGAUGCCCAAGGGGUCCUGCGGUAUUUCUUCCAGUCAAGUCACGGGUUGUAGGGGAGGCAGCAGAGUGACUGACUACCCGCGCGACAACAGAAAAGGGGUACCCAAACUCCAACUCGAAAAUGAAAACUUUGGUUUGUACCCCACCCCUCCAGACUGCAUCUUCGAGUUCAAACAACAGCCAGCAACGACAAUAAUAAAACAGUGAGUGCUUGAAAUACAA
Peromyscus maniculatus bairdii (prairie deer mouse) is the source of this 2445-nucleotide non-coding RNA. The record is from RefSeq and is a predicted model, not a curated record. Lineage: Eukaryota; Metazoa; Chordata; Mammalia; Rodentia; Cricetidae.